RNAcentral lists this unclassified non-coding RNA (395 nucleotides) under soil metagenome. RNAcentral describes it as "partial contains 5.8S ribosomal RNA, internal transcribed spacer 2, and large subunit ribosomal RNA". The stretch from base 1 to 120 matches the Rfam family "5.8S ribosomal RNA", at positions 35 to 154 of the family's 154-position model. The record is from RNAcentral.
GAUGAAGAACGUAGCGAAAUGCGAUAAGUAAUGUGAAUUGCAGAAUUCAGUGAAUCAUCGAAUCUUUGAACGCACCUUGCGCCUUUUGGUAUUCCGAAAGGCACACCUGUUUGAGCGUCAUGAAUACCUCAAUCUCCAUCUUUUCUUCGGAUUGAUGGGUGACUUGGAUGUUGAGCCCUGCUGGUAUGCUAUAUCAGCUGGCUUUAAACUUAUUAGCCGGCUCUGUACUGGAUCGGUUUGACUCGACGUGAUAAUAUUAUCGUUGAGGAUGCAUGUCUCAUGCAGCCGGAAAGUAUCAAAGCAGCUUCAAGCUUGCCUUUAGUGCACUUUUACAUUUUAGACCUCAGAUCAGGUGGGACUACCCGCUGAACUUAAGCAUAUCAAUAAGCGGAGGA